Molecule: ribosomal RNA, 253 nt
Filed under: uncultured bacterium
Lineage: Bacteria
Description: partial 16S ribosomal RNA
Rfam family: Bacterial small subunit ribosomal RNA
Source: RNAcentral
UACGUAGGGGGCAAGCGUUGUCCGGAUUUAUUGGGCGUAAAGAGCGUGUAGGCGGCCAAGCAGGUCUGUUGUGAAAACUGGAGGCUCAACCUCCAGACGUCGACAGAAACCGCUCGGCUAGAGUCCGGAAGAGGCGAGUGGAACUCCUGGUGUAGCGGUGGAAUGCGCAGAUAUCAGGAAGAACACCAACGGCGAAGGCAGCUCGCUGGGACGGUACUGACGCUGAGACGCGAAAGCGUGGGGAGCGAACAGG